UUGUUAACCUGUAAUGUUGACGUUUCUGCCAGUGCGGGUCUUAAUUGUGCAAUUUUACGUCAAGCAGCUAAGGUGUUUAAUACAGUAUUUCUGAAAUAAAAACAUGAGCAUGAAAGAAUCAGUAGACAGUAUGGAGUACGUUGCUGCUGGCUGCACUCAGGACUGAUUUCUGACAACACGUCUACAAGUUCUUCAUCAGCCAGCUGUCAAACGAUCCUAAAUAAAGCUGCUACAAGCCAUAUAUCAGAACCCCAAAUCACUAGUUCGCUAAGUUCCAUCUCUGCUUGUCAAUGAAGCUAGUAAAUAGCAGGCACCAUGAGCAGGUCAGCUAAAUCAGCUUAUCAAGUCACUGGCGAGUGGUGACGUUUGGUUUUUACAUCUUUCUCACAAUCUAUUACCAGUGUGCAUCGGUCUGGCAGUGUUUCAUAGGGAAUCAUAUUACUGGGCUGCAUCCCAGUGCUAGAGGCGUCACUACAGACAUCUUGCUUUGAAUCCAGGCUGUAUCACAACCGACCGUGAUUGGGAGUCCCAUAGGGCGGCAUACAAGUGGUCCAGGUUUGGCCGGUGUGGGCUGUCAUUGUAAAUAAUCAUUUGUUCUUAACUGACUUGCCUAGUGAAAUACAGGUUACAUUUAAAUAGUUUAAAAGAAAAUAAACAGCUGGCAUCGGGACCCACCAUCUAGUUGGAGACAGAUUUGGCCCAAAACAGUAGCUAUGUUCUGCUGCUAUGAUGGUCUGUCUCACUGUCUGGAGGUUCUGCUGCUAUGAUGGUCUGUCUCACUGUCUGGAGGUUCUGCUGCUAUGAUGGUCUGUCUGGAGGUUCUGCUGCUAUGAUGGUCUGUCUCACUGUCUGGAGGUUCUGCUGCUAUGAUGGUCUGUCUCACUGUCUGGAGGUUCUGCUGCUAUGAUGGUCUGUCUCACUGUCUGGAGGUUCUGCUGCUAUGAUGGUCUGUCUCACUGUCUGGAGGUUCUGCUGCUAUGAUGGUCUGUCUCACUGUCUGGAGGUUCUGCUGCUAUGAUGGUCUGUCUCACUGUCUGGAGGUUCUGCUGCUAUGAUGGUCUGUCUGGAGGUUCUGCUGCUAUGAUGGUCUGUCUCACUGUCUGGAGGUUCUGCUGCUAUGAUGGUCUGUCUCACUGUCUGGAGGUUCUGCUGCUAUGAUGGUCUGUCUGGAGGUUCUGCUGCUAUGAUGGUCUGUCUCACUGUCUGGAGGUUCUGCUGCUAUGAUGGUCUGUCUCACUGUCUGGAGGUUCUGCUGCUAUGAUGGUCUGUCUGGAGGUUCUGCUGCUAUGAUGGUCUGUCUGGAGGUUCUGCUGCUAUGAUGGUCUGUCUGGAGGUUCUGCUGCUAUGAUGGUAUGUCUCACUGUCUGGAGGUUCUGCUGCUAUGAUGGUCUGUCUCACUGUCUGGAGGUUCUGCUGCUAUGAUGGUCUGUCUGGAGGUUCUGCUGCUAUGAUGGUCUGUCUGGAGGUUCUGCUGCUAUGAUGGUCUGUCUCACUGUCUGGAGGUUCUGCUGCUAUGAUGGUCUGUCUCACUGUCUGGAGGUUCUGCUGCUAUGAUGGUCUGUCUCACUGUCUGGAGGUUCUGCUGCUAUGAUGGUCUGUCUCACUGUCUGGAGGUUCUGCUGCUAUGAUGGUCUGUCUCACUGUCUGGAGGUUCUGCUGCUAUGAUGGUCUGUCUCACUGUCUGGAGGUUCUGCUGCUAUGAUGGUCUGUCUGGAGGUUCUGCUGCUAUGAUGGUCUGUCUCACUGUCUGGAGGUUCUGCUGCUAUGAUGGUCUGUCUCACUGUCUGGAGGUUCUGCUGCUAUGAUGGUCUGUCUGGAGGUUCUGCUGCUAUGAUGGUCUGUCUGGAGGUUCUGCUGCUAUGAUGGUCUGUCUCACUGUCUGGAGGUUCUGCUGCUAUGAUGGUCUGUCUGGAGGUUCUGCUGCUAUGAUGGUCUGUCUGGAGGUUCUGCUGCUAUGAUGGUCUGUCUGGAGGUUCUGCUGCUAUGAUGGUAUGUCUCACUGUCUGGAGGUUCUGCUGCUAUGAUGGUCUGUCUCACUGUCUGGAGGUUCUGCUGCUAUGAUGGUCUGUCUGGAGGUUCUGCUGCUAUGAUGGUCUGUCUGGAGGUUCUGCUGCUAUGAUGGUCUGUCUCACUGUCUGGAGGUUCUGCUGCUAUGAUGGUCUGUCUCACUGUCUGGAGGUUCUGCUGCUAUGAUGGUCUGUCUCACUGUCUGGAGGUUCUGCUGCUAUGAUGGUCUGUCUCACUGUCUGGAGGUUCUGCUGCUAUGAUGGUCUGUCUCACUGUCUGGAGGUUCUGCUGCUAUGAUGGUCUGUCUCACUGUCUGGAGGUUCUGUUGCUAUGAUGGUCUGUCUCACUGUCUGGAGGUUCUGCUGCUAUGAUGGUCUGUCUGGAGGUUCUGCUGCUAUGAUGGUCUGUCUGGAGGUGCUGCUGCUAUGAUGGUCUGUCUGGAGGUUCUGCUGCUAUGAUGGUCUGUCUGGAGGUUCUGCUGCUAUGAUGGUCUGUCUGGAGGUUCUGCUGCUAUGAUGGUCGGUCUCACUGUCUGGAGGUUCUGCUGCUAUGAUGGUCUGUCUCACUGUCUGGAGGUUCUGCUGCUAUGA
This is a long non-coding RNA of Oncorhynchus keta (chum salmon), 2597 nucleotides long. RefSeq lists it as uncharacterized. The transcript is spliced from 3 exons. The record is from RefSeq and is a predicted model, not a curated record. Lineage: Eukaryota; Metazoa; Chordata; Actinopteri; Salmoniformes; Salmonidae.